RNAcentral lists this long non-coding RNA (229 nucleotides) under Elaeis guineensis (African oil palm). RNAcentral describes it as "long non-coding RNA (EGUI_LNC009845)". The record is from RNAcentral. Lineage: Eukaryota; Viridiplantae; Streptophyta; Magnoliopsida; Arecales; Arecaceae.
GUGACUAGCUAUAUAACUUACCAUCUAAUCUAUAACACUAUUUGUUGACCCAAAGAUUGAUUUUGAUAAAUAUAAAAUAUUUAAAUAUUUAUUUUAAUACUAAUGAGUUGAUAAAAUUUUUAUAUAAAUAUUUUCAAAAAGUUAAAAUCAUUCUUGGGAAGCAUGUAUUGAUUAAUAAGUUUUAAAAGCAAAAGAAGGUGAUCGGAUAAAGUUGCAUCAUUAAAAAUUA